GAAAGACUCUCGGCAACGGAUAUCUCGGCUCUUGCAUCGAUGAAGAACGUAGCGAAAUGCGAUACUUGGUGUGAAUUGCAGAAUCCCGUGAACCAUCGAGUCUUUGAACGCAAGUUGCGCCCGAAGCCAUUAGGCUGAGGGCACGCCUGCCUGGGUGUCGCCC
This 163-nucleotide ribosomal RNA is filed under the name Crotalaria podocarpa. RNAcentral's name for it is "5.8S ribosomal RNA". It matches the Rfam family "5.8S ribosomal RNA". Rfam says of the family: 5.8S ribosomal RNA (5.8S rRNA) is a component of the large subunit of the eukaryotic ribosome. RNAcentral also lists the same sequence under 1 other name. The record is from RNAcentral. Lineage: Eukaryota; Viridiplantae; Streptophyta; Magnoliopsida; Fabales; Fabaceae.